AGUGAACGCUGGCGGUAGGCCUAACACAUGCAAGUCGAACGGCAGCACAGUAAGAGCUUGCUCUUACGGGUGGCGAGUGGCGGACGGGUGAGGAAUACAUCGGAAUCUACUUUUUCGUGGGGGAUAACGUAGGGAAACUUACGCUAAUACCGCAUACGACCUACGGGUAAAAGCAGGGGAUCUUCGGCCCUUGCCCGAUUGAAUGAGACGAUGUCGGCUUAGUCAGUUGACGGGGUAAAGGCCCACCAAGGCGACGAUCCGUAGCUGGUCUGAGAGGUUGAUCCGCCACACUGUAACUAAGACACGUGCCAGGCUGCUACUGGAGGCAGCAGUGUGGAAUAUAGGACGAUACGCGCAAGCCUGAUCCAGCCAUACCGCGUGCAUGAAGAAGGCCUUCGGGUUGUAAAGCCCUUUUGUUGGAAAAGAAAAGCAGCAUAUUAAUACCCCGCUGUUCUGACGGUACCCAAAGAAUAAGCACCGGCUAACUUCGUG
Molecule: ribosomal RNA, 492 nt
Filed under: uncultured bacterium
Lineage: Bacteria
Description: partial 16S ribosomal RNA
Rfam family: Bacterial small subunit ribosomal RNA
Source: RNAcentral